Molecule: ribosomal RNA, 408 nt
Filed under: uncultured bacterium
Lineage: Bacteria
Description: partial 16S ribosomal RNA
Rfam family: Bacterial small subunit ribosomal RNA
Source: RNAcentral
UGGGGAAUAUUGGACAAUGGGGGCAACCCUGAUCCAGCAAUGCCGCGUGUGUGAAGAAGGUCUUCGGAUUGUAAAGCACUUUCGACGGGGACGAUGAUGACGGUACCCGUAGAAGAAGCCCCGGCUAACUUCGUGCCAGCAGCCGCGGUAAUACGAAGGGGGCUAGCGUUGCUCGGAAUGACUGGGCGUAAAGGGCGUGUAGGCGGUUUACACAGUCAGAUGUGAAAUCCCCGGGCUUAACCUGGGAGCUGCAUUUGAUACGUGUAGACUAGAGUGUGAGAGAGGGUUGUGGAAUUCCCAGUGUAGAGGUGAAAUUCGUAGAUAUUGGGAAGAACACCGGUGGCGAAGGCGGCAACCUGGCUCAUGACUGACGCUGAGCGCGAAAGCGUGGGGAGCAAACAGGAUUAG